AGCUCAGUUGGAUAGAGCAUCCGCCUUCUAAGCGGAUGGUCACAGGUUCAAGCCCUGUC
Molecule: transfer RNA, 59 nt
Filed under: Escherichia coli
Lineage: Bacteria; Pseudomonadati; Pseudomonadota; Gammaproteobacteria; Enterobacterales; Enterobacteriaceae
Description: tRNA-Arg
Rfam family: tRNA
About the family: Transfer RNA (tRNA) molecules are approximately 80 nucleotides in length. Their secondary structure includes four short double-helical elements and three loops (D, anti-codon, and T loops). Further hydrogen bonds mediate the characteristic L-shaped molecular structure. tRNAs have two regions of fundamental functional importance: the anti-codon, which is responsible for specific mRNA codon recognition, and the 3' end, to which the tRNAs corresponding amino acid is attached (by aminoacyl-tRNA synthetases). tRNAs cope with the degeneracy of the genetic code in two manners: having more than one tRNA (with a specific anti-codon) for a particular amino acid; and 'wobble' base-pairing, i.e. permitting non-standard base-pairing at the 3rd anti-codon position.
Source: RNAcentral